RNAcentral lists this microRNA precursor (126 nucleotides) under Setaria italica (foxtail millet). The record is from RNAcentral. Lineage: Eukaryota; Viridiplantae; Streptophyta; Magnoliopsida; Poales; Poaceae.
AGGCCAUCUUUGAUAGCCAAGGAUGAUUUGCCUGUAGCCACCUCUGAAUGCUCCUGGUGCCAUGGCAAUCAGGAGCAGCAAGUGGCGGCCCUCCGGGCAAAUCAUCCGGGCUAACUGAGUGCCUCU